GAUGAACGCUGGCGGCGUGCCUAAUACAUGCAAGUCGAGCGAACAGACGAGGAGUUUGCUCCUCUGACGUUAGCGGCGGACGGGUGAGUAACACGUGGAUAACCUACCUAUAAGACUGGGAUAACUUCGGGAAACCGGAGCUAAUACCGGAUAAUAUAUUGAACCGCAUGGUUCAAUAGUGAAAGACGGUUUUGCUGUCACUUAUAGAUGGAUCCGCGCCGCAUUAGCUAGUUGGUAAGGUAACGGCUUACCAAGGCAACGAUGCGUAGCCGACCUGAGAGAGUGAUCGGCCACACUGGAGGUGAGACGCGGUCCAGACUCCUACGAGAGGCAGCAGUAGGGAAUCUUCCGCAAUGGGCGAGAGCUUGACGGAGCAACGCCGCGUGAGUGAUGAAGGUCUUCGGAUCGUAAAACUCUGUUAUUAGGGAAGAACAAAUGUGUAAGUAACUAUGCACGUCUUGACGGUACCUGAUCAGAAAGCCACGGCUAACUACGUG
Molecule: ribosomal RNA, 497 nt
Filed under: uncultured bacterium
Lineage: Bacteria
Description: partial 16S ribosomal RNA
Rfam family: Bacterial small subunit ribosomal RNA
Source: RNAcentral